UGCCCAGACUCCUACGGGAGGCAGCAGUGGGGAAUAUUGCGCAAUGGGCGAAAGCCUGACGCAGCGACGCCGCGUGAGGGAAGACGGUCCUCUGGAUUGUAAACCACUGUCCCCAGGGACGAAGAUGACGGUACCUGGGGAGGAAGCUCCGGCUAACUACGUGCCAGCAGCCGCGGUAAUACGUAGGGAGCGAGCGUUGUCCGGAAUUAUUGGGUGUAAAGGGUGCGUAGACGGAGAAACAAGUUGGUUGUGAAAUCCCUCGGCUCAACCGAGGAACUGCAACCAAAACUAUUUCCCUUGAGUGUCGGAGAGGAAAGUGGAAUUCCUAGUGUAGCGGUGAAAUGCGUAGAUAUUAGGAGGAACACCAGUGGCGAAGGCGACUUUCUGGACGAUAACUGACGUUGAGGCACGAAAGUGUGGGGAGCAAACAGGAUUAGAUACCCCCGUA
Molecule: ribosomal RNA, 448 nt
Filed under: uncultured bacterium
Lineage: Bacteria
Description: bacterial SSU rRNA
Rfam family: Bacterial small subunit ribosomal RNA
Source: RNAcentral